Eubalaena glacialis (North Atlantic right whale) is the source of this 901-nucleotide long non-coding RNA. RefSeq lists it as uncharacterized. The transcript is spliced from 3 exons. NCBI's taxonomy places the organism in Eukaryota, Metazoa, Chordata, Mammalia, Artiodactyla, Balaenidae. The record is from RefSeq and is a predicted model, not a curated record.
GCCUGCUGUUCCGCUAGGGCGGGCCGCUAGUGGGUUCGCCCCGGGCGCCUUCGGCUUCGGCGCCGGCCCCAGCGUUCCGUGUGGGCUUUGUGACGCAACGCGCUCCGGUCGCCUCCCUCCCGCGCCGGGCCCGCUGCUCCGGGGACGACGGAGGACAGCGGGCUACGGGGCGGCCGGGCGGGGCAGGCCGAGUCCUCGCGCGUCCCCGCGGACUCGAGCCGCCAUCCGGCCGCGAGGUCUGGGCGCCUCUGCCCGAGGACGCUGGUUUCGAGCGGGGCCAAAGUAAACAAAGCUCGCCUCCAUUUUUUCUGGUUAUGCAGAAAAUCGAAUGUAGACAAGCGAGGCAUUCUGAGGCCGCCCGGGUCUCGGGGCAUUUAGGAAUGUGCAGGUGUAUAUUAGCUUAAAAGUAUUAUACUAAUAAUAAAGGUUGACUUUGCAUAUGAAGAUUCGGGGAAUAGACCACGGACCACAAAGUUAAGAAUGAUAGCAUAUAUUCUACUAGGAAAAAAAAAAAAGCGCCUUCUCACCAUAUACAGACAAAUUCCCGGACUGGAGGGAGAGAGAAUUCAGAGAGAAAAGACUCUUAGGGGACUUCCCUGGUGGCACAGUGGUUAAGAAUCUGCCUGCCACUGCAGGGGACACGGGUUCAAGCCCUGGUCCGGGAAGAUCCCACAUGCCGCGGAGCAACUAAGCCCGUGCGCCACAGCUACUGAGCCUGCGCUCCAGAGCCCAUGAGCCACAACUACUGAGCCCGCAUGCUACAACUACUGAAGCCCAUGCACCUAGAGCCCGUGCUCUGCCACAAGAGAAGCCACCGCGAUGAGAAGCCCACACACCGCAAUGAAGAGUAGCCCCCACUCGCUGCAACGAGAGAAAGCCCACGCGCAGCAACGAAGACCCA